AAAAUCACACUUUUAUCCGCUAGGGUUUUUGAAGUUUGGCUCGUGCGUCGCGAUAAUCGCCAAUGGCGAAACCUAGCCGCGGCCGUCGUUCACCUUCCGUCUCUGGGUCUUCAUCUCGGUCCCCCGCCGAAGAAGGAAAACUAUAAGAAGAAAGAGUUACCAGUGGUUACGAUGAACUAUUCUCCAAACCGCACAAGACUAUAUAUGUUGCACGCCUAAAACUCACGGCAAAAAGUCAAACUAGGAUGAGAAAUCGUGGAAAGAUAUUGAAUACUUUUUCUUUGGUUUGUGAACCAUAGCGUAUGUACCAUCCAGCUGUAGACAAAAAUAAUAAUAAUAAUCAGAAUGUCAUUUAAUGAAAUAAUCGACAUUUCAACUAUAGGAUCAUGGACAAAAUGAGUCGUUGACUCUUGGCAAAAACCACAGUAGGUGUACUUGUCAUGUAGAAAUCAUAUACCGUUAAAGCUCCAAAUCAUCACUAAACUAUGAAAUGUACAGAACAAGUGACACAAAAAUAGAUAUAGCAUAUGGCUAAUGGAUCAUGGGAACCUCAAGUGGUGACUUACUGGUUAAUCAAUCGGACAGUGAUUGGUUUAACCUCUCGGUUAAGACGCAUUCAAGACAACUGAAUCAAUGAAGCUACAACAUAUAGAUAUCAGACAUCAUAACUAUUUUUUGGGGACCAAUUCAGAUACGGUUUCAAUCUUAUAUACAUACACACAAAUCUAUGAUUGCAACUAAAGACAAAAUCUAACAGAAAGAAACCUUCUGUUUGGGUCCAAGGAAGAAGAAGAAGAAGAUGAUGGGACCACAAAAACAUCAAAGACAAAAAAAAAACGUUUUCUCCUUUUCUUUUCUAAAUGGUACUGCUGAGUGUAGAAACCGCAGUAGAUGAAGAAGCCCCUGACGAGUAAGCAUUUGAGUUAUCUCUAGUCCCGGUGCUAGACGAGGCAUUAUCUGAAGAAAGAUUCGUGUAGUAGUUGCUGCGUCUGUUCACUUCCUCUGGCUUUUUCUCGACCGGUCCUUUCACUUUCAAGUCCAUAAAAUCAGAAAUCAAACCCGGUCUGGUUAUGUUCCUGCUCUCUAUAUCCUUCUUCUCCCCUGUUAACAGCUUCACCACCGUGGACAUACUUGGCCUUAGCUUAGGAUUGUCUUGCGUGCACAAAAGACCUAUUUUUAGGUACCGGCAAGCUUCCUCUCCGUCAAAGACUCCGUUUAGCCCUGUGUCAACGAGAUCCACGAGCUCAUUUCGCUCAUAAAGAUCCCAAGCCUGUGGAAAUGCAAGAAAAAAAGUUAUAUCUCUAAAACCAAAGAGCUUACAAAAGAACAUAAAAGGCAAGAGACUUACUCUUUCUAGAAGAUAUUGAUACCCCUGGGGUAACCGUGUGUUUUUGUUACUUCUUGCACUAACUAUCUCCAUCAGAAGGACUCCAUAGCUGUAAACAUCAGCUUUGCGCGUAACCUGUCCCCUAACCGCAUACUCUGGCGCUAGAUAACCACUGCACAAACCAGAUGUUAAUUAAGAACCUUUACUUAUAGCGAGAAUAUAAAAAAAAACGCUUGAAACUCACAUUGUACCGGCGACACGAGUGCUGACAUGAGUCAUGUUCGGCGGCAUAAGCUUGGCGAGUCCAAAAUCAGCUAUCUUGGGAGAUAAGUCUCUGUCAAGUAGAAUGUUGCUCGCCUUGAUAUCUCUAUGAAUAAUGUGAGGCCUUACUUCUUCAUGAAGAAAGGCAAGACCUUUAGCAACCCCAACGCAGAUUCUGGACCGAGUUCUCCAAUCAAACUGUAUCCCACUCUUAAUGUAUCCCCCAGCUGAAAAAAAAACAUUCAUCCAUCGAGAAUAUGACAUUAAAGAAACUGACAAACAAACUACGAGAAUCACCUAAGAGGGUCUUAUCAAGGCUAUUGUUCUCCAGAUAGUUGUAGACAAGUAUCCUGUGAUUCCCUUCCACGCAGCAUCCGUAUAACUUAACCAGAUUCUCAUGCUGUAUCUCUGAUAUGACGUUGAUCUCAGUCAAGAACUCUUUCACGCCUUGUCUUGACUCAGCGGAAAGGACUUUGAUAGCUGCAAUCUUUCCAUCUUUAAGACGGCCCUAUAAUCAUUGUUUGGGUUAAGAAGAUGACGAGAGAAGAGCAAGGAAGUGAGUUUUCUCAUUUUACCUUGUACACAGAGCCAAACCCUCCCUCUCCAAUUUUAUUUAGGGCGUCGAAAUCAUCAGUAGCUUGACGAAUCUCUUUGUAUUUGUAAAUCUUUACCUUGAUUAUCGCUGAGAUCUCUGUAAGCAAGAAAGAUAAACAAACACUAAGUUAAGAGGAAACCAGCAACAAGACUAUGCAUAGUUAACAUUCCAAGCUUAAAAGUAGUAUAUGUUACCUCUAUCAACUUGUGAAGGUUCUCCUCCACUCUUAUGGCAUGAGAAACAGGAGCCCAUCAUUGUAAUAAGACAGACCUGUGAACUGUUGAUGCCAUCAAUUAUAAUGAUUACACACGAAGAAAGAAACGAGACCAGUUCAGAGAUUUGAAUUCUAACUAGUAAACCAGAGAUAAGAUCGAAUCCAAUUACUACUACUCAAUAGAAUCUCUAUCCAAGUAAGAAACUCCCCAAAGACCUCAGAAGCUAAAGCAACUUAAAAAAAAAGCUGCCGACUUUGAAUUUGGGUUUCUUAGGAUUGAGAACAAAAACUCAAAACAGACACAAAUAAAACGAAAUUCAGCGGAAAAAUAGAAAGAAAGAGAAACCCACCUCAGAGAGAGUUGAAAUUGGUAUAAAAAAGGCUCUGACUUUACGCGAUCAGAGUCGCUCUGUCUCUCUUAUUAUCCUCGCUGUGUGUGUGUGGAUAUCAGAGAUUAAGGAUUUGAUGAAAAUGGAGUAGGAGAGGGAAAGAAUGAAGAAGAAGGAAGAAGAAGGGGUCUUUGUAAAUCUGAAGCACGCGUCAGUACUAUAUCUUGUGCGUUGCUCCGACGACUAAGCAAUGCUACAGUCUUUCUUCUCUUUUUGUACUUUUCUUUAUUUUAUCUCAUGUUAAAAUUGUCUGUUCUCAUAGGACGGCUCGGAGUAAUGCACUCAGACGUGUAUUCUCACAAAGUAGUAGAAUUAUCGACUGUAAAAUCGUCUAUGUAAUGUUCUCAAAAAAAAAAAAUUGUCUAUUCUCUUUGUUUAUGUAAUAAAUUAUCGUUUACCCGCCAAUCAUCUCGCGGAAUAUUAUUUUAACAGAGUUGUAAUUUGUAAAGAAAACCAAAAAAAAAAAUAAAAAAAUCACACUUUUAUCCGCUAGGGUUUUUGAAGUUUGGCUCGUGCGUCGCGAUAAUCGCCAAUGGCGAAACCUAGCCGCGGCCGUCGUUCACCUUCCGUCUCUGGGUCUUCAUCUCGGUCCAGCUCCAGAUCUCGUUCGAGUGGGUCCAGGUCUCUUUCCCGUUCUAGAUCGCUCUCUUCUUCUUCGCGGAGCGUGAGCUCAGGGAGUCGUAGUCCUCCACCUCGUGGAAA
RNAcentral lists this long non-coding RNA (3488 nucleotides) under Brassica napus (rape). RNAcentral's name for it is "long non-coding RNA (BNAP_LNC007189)". Lineage: Eukaryota; Viridiplantae; Streptophyta; Magnoliopsida; Brassicales; Brassicaceae. The record is from RNAcentral.